UACAGAGGUCCCAAGCGUUGUUCGGAAUUAUUGGGCGUAAAGGGCGCGUAGGCGGCGCGACAAGUCACCUGUGAAAUCUCCGAGCUUAACUCGGAGCCUGCAGGCGAAACUGUCGUGCUGGAGUAUGGGAGAGGUGCGUGGAAUUCCCGGUGUAGUGGUGGAAUGCGUAGAUAUCGGGAGGAACACCAGUGGCGAAGGCGGUUACCUGGGGCUUUGCUGACGCUGAUGCGCGAAAGCGUGGGGAGCGAUCCGG
Molecule: ribosomal RNA, 253 nt
Filed under: uncultured bacterium
Lineage: Bacteria
Description: partial 16S ribosomal RNA
Rfam family: Bacterial small subunit ribosomal RNA
Source: RNAcentral